CCUACGGGAGGCAGCAGUGAGGAAUAUUGGUCAAUGGGCGAGAGCCUGAACCAGCCAAGUCGCGUGAGGGAGUACUGCCCUAUGGGUUGUAAACCUCUUUUGUCGGGGAGCAAAAGCCGGACGUGUCCGGCUGUGAGAGUACCCGAAGAAAAAGCAUCGGCUAACUCCGUGCCAGCAGCCGCGGUAAUACGGAGGAUGCGAGCGUUAUCCGGAUUUAUUGGGUGUAAAGGGUGCGGCGGCGGAUGUUUACGUCAGCGGUCAAAUCGUGGGGCUCAACCCAAUCCAGCCGUUGAAACUGGGGUGCUAGAGUGUGCGAGAGGUAUGCGGAAUGCGUGGUGUAGCGGUGAAAUGCA
This 353-nucleotide ribosomal RNA is filed under the name uncultured bacterium. RNAcentral describes it as "partial 16S ribosomal RNA". It matches the Rfam family "Bacterial small subunit ribosomal RNA", at positions 338 to 690 of the family's 1533-position model. The record is from RNAcentral.